Molecule: long non-coding RNA, 493 nt
Organism: Homo sapiens (human)
Lineage: Eukaryota; Metazoa; Chordata; Mammalia; Primates; Hominidae
Exons: 3
Source: RefSeq, a predicted model, not a curated record
UGUGUCCCGAGUCUAAAUUAUUUAGACCUUGUCUACAUAACCUACCAAAGAGCGUUUUGGCCCCGCCUGCCCCUCCCCAGAGGACACGGCAGUGGCGCUGAGGGGCCUGGGUGGAUCUUAAGGAAAACUGAGCCACAGGCCACUGCCCCCCAACACCUUCAGCUGCUUCUGCCUCAAGGGGGAUGCUGCCCUCUGUUUCUGCACGGUUCUGAGAAUCACAACGGGGACUGACCUGUGGAAGCCAUGAUUGACCAACCACAUCAGCAUUAGAAAGGGUUCUCUUGGCUGGGCGAGUGCAAGGUGGAGCUCAGAGAGACGCCUGGAGGAUGAGGCGGCACGGGCAAACCUCAGGGCAUCGUGGGCUCAGUUCCAGAGGCCACAGCACAGUGGUGAUCACAACAAAUGCAGCCACACACACUUUUUGGUUUCCUAGUGCAUGUCAAAUGUAUGUUUACACUACACUGCGGCCUAAUAAAGUGUGAUAGUGAUAGCA